Molecule: ribosomal RNA, 1018 nt
Filed under: uncultured bacterium
Lineage: Bacteria
Description: bacterial SSU rRNA
Rfam family: Bacterial small subunit ribosomal RNA
Source: RNAcentral
AGGAAUAUUGGUCAAUGGACGAGAGUCUGAACCAGCCAAGUAGCGUGAAGGAUGAAGGUUCUAUGGAUUGUAAACUUCUUUUAUACGGGAAUAAACGAAUCCACGCGUGGAUUUUUGCAUGUACCGUAUGAAUAAGGAUCGGCUAACUCCGUGCCAGCAGCCGCGGUAAUACGGAGGAUCCGAGCGUUAUCCGGAUUUAUUGGGUUUAAAGGGAGCGUAGAUGGGUUGUUAAGUCAGUUGUGAAAGUUUGCGGCUCAACCGUAAAAUUGCAAUUGAUACUGGCAGUCUUGAGUACAGUUGAGGUAGGCGGAAUUCGUGGUGUAGCGGUGAAAUGCUUAGAUAUCACGAAGAACUCCGAUUGCGAAGGCAGCUUACUAACCUGUAACUGACAUUGAUGCUCGAAAGUGUGGGUAUCAAACAGGAUUAGAUACCCUGGUAGUCCACACGGUAAACGAUGAAUACUCGCUGUAGGCGAUAUACGGUCUGCGGCCAAGCGAAAGCAUUAAGUAUUCCACCUGGGGAGUACGCCGGCAACGGUGAAACUCAAGGGAAUUGACGGGGGCCCGCACAAGCGGAGGAACAUGUGGUUUAAUUCGAUGAUACGCGAGGAACCUUACCCGGGCUUAAAUUGCAACCGAAUAUGGCGGAAACGCCAUAGCUAGCAAUAGCGGUUGUGAAGGUGCUGCAUGGUUGUCGUCAGCUCGUGCCGUGAGGUGUCGGCUUAAGUGCCAUAACGAGCGCAACCCUUGCCGAUAGUUACUAACAGGUUAUGCUGAGGACUCUGUCGGGACUGCCAUCGUAAGAUGUGAGGAAGGUGGGGAUGACGUCAAAUCAGCACGGCCCUUACGUCCGGGGCUACACACGUGUUACAAUGGGGGGUACAGAGGGCUGCUACCACGCAAGUGGAUGCCAAUCCCAAAAACCUCUCUCAGUUCGGAUUGAAGUCUGCAACCCGACUUCAUGAAGCUGGAUUCGCUAGUAAUCGCGCAUCAGCCACGGCGCGGUGAAUACGUUCCCG